RNAcentral lists this small nucleolar RNA (151 nucleotides) under Olea europaea subsp. europaea. RNAcentral's name for it is "Small nucleolar RNA snoR2/U65". It matches the Rfam family "Small nucleolar RNA snoR2/U65". Lineage: Eukaryota; Viridiplantae; Streptophyta; Magnoliopsida; Lamiales; Oleaceae. The record is from Rfam by way of RNAcentral.
GGUCUGAUGCCACGUCACCGGUAGCGAAAUCGCUGUGACCGGCGAUGCUAUGAUUGGACCAAAAUCGAUUUCAUAUUUCGCAUGUUGAUAGGAAUCCGUGGACUGAAUUUUAUUCCAUUCAUCUAUGGAGCCGUUUUCUGCGAUUACAUUU